UCCUACGGGAGGCAGCAGUCGGGAAUAUUGCGCAAUGGAGGAAACUCUGACGCAGUGACGCCGCGUAUAGGACGAAGGUCUUCGGAUUGUAAACUAUUGUCGUUAGGGAAGAGAAAGGACAGUACCUAAGGAGGAAGCUCCGGCUAACUACGUGCCAGCAGCCGCGGUAAUACGUAGGGGGCAAGCGUUAUCCGGAAUUACUGGGUGUAAAGGGAGCGUAGACGGCAAUGCAAGUCCGGAGUGGAAUGCGGCAGCUCAACUGCCGAACUGCUCUGGAAACUGUAUGGCUUGAGUGCAGGAGGGGG
This 305-nucleotide ribosomal RNA is filed under the name uncultured bacterium. RNAcentral describes it as "bacterial SSU rRNA". It matches the Rfam family "Bacterial small subunit ribosomal RNA", at positions 337 to 658 of the family's 1533-position model. The record is from RNAcentral.